GACUGACCAGCGCCCCAUCCCAGGGCCAGCCUGAAAAGCUUCCCGCUGUCUGCACCGGGGACCUCCAACCGCUGCGGUUGCCCGCGCUGAAGCCACUGGGGACCGCCAGCAGCCCUGGCAUGCUCGGGACAUGGAAAGCAUAACGGAGCCUUUCUGACCGAAGCCCGGAGAAACAGAGCGGGACCUCCAAGCACUUUGUGGGGUUAUCUGCCAAGGACUAGCGGCUAGAGAAAUCCCAGCGGCCGGGAGAGGGAACCUGGACAUUCUCUGCCGCCAACUCAAGCAAGUGGCAUGGUGUUCGAAACUAUCGGAGCCGCCUGAGGGUGGGAAUGGGAAACCAUCUGGGCAGAUGUGGCAGGAAAUAAGGUGUCGGCGCAGCAUUGGAUUCCCUCCCUUUCCUUUAGCUUGGUGGAAAGGUGGGGGGACCUAAUGGAAAAACAUAAGACUUAAGUACGUGUUUGUAGGUGUGUGCCUUGGGGUGGGUGGGAGUGUUCCAGGCUUCUAGUUUUUCAGCGAUAGUGCAAAAUGAGGUGAUUUGGGAUGCCUGCACGCCUGGCUUGUCUCUUUUUCUCUGGCACUAAUUAAAAAGCCGCCGACGCUUGCAAGGCGCACACCAAAUUCAGCCCUUUGGUGGCCAGACGGACCGCUGGCACCAGGACCUCGCUUUCCAGCCGGUAUCCCCUCCAGGGAGUUUGUGGUCUUGAUGCCUUCCUUUUAAAUCUGCAUUCUGCCUGGCCUGAGUCAUUUCCCUCCGAAGGUUGCCAGUCAAUUAAAUGGGUUUAAAGUCUCA
Long non-coding RNA from Mesocricetus auratus (golden hamster), 790 nucleotides. RefSeq lists it as uncharacterized. The record is from RefSeq and is a predicted model, not a curated record. NCBI's taxonomy places the organism in Eukaryota, Metazoa, Chordata, Mammalia, Rodentia, Cricetidae. The transcript is spliced from 2 exons.